This 422-nucleotide ribosomal RNA is filed under the name uncultured bacterium. RNAcentral's name for it is "bacterial SSU rRNA". It matches the Rfam family "Bacterial small subunit ribosomal RNA", at positions 355 to 774 of the family's 1533-position model. The record is from RNAcentral.
CAAGGAAUAUUGGUCAAUGGACGCAAGUCUGAACCAGCCAUGCCGCGUGGAGGAUGAAGGUCCUCUGGAUUGUAAACUUCUUUUAUCUGGGACGAAACACUUCUUUUCUAAGAGGCCUGACGGUACCAGAUGAAUAAGCACCGGCUAACUCCGUGCCAGCAGCCGCGGUAAUACGGAGGGUGCAAGCGUUAUCCGGAUUCACUGGGUUUAAAGGGUGCGUAGGUGGGUAUGUAAGUCAGUGGUGAAAUCCCCGAGCUUAACUUGGGAACUGCCAUUGCUACUAUAUAUCUUGAAUACCGUAGAGGUAAGCGGAAUAUGUCAUGUAGCGGUGAAAUGCUUAGAUAUGACAUGGAACACCAAUUGCGAAGGCAGCUUACUAUGCGGUGAUUGACACUGAGGCACGAAAGCGUGGGUAGCAAACA